GUGCUUGCUUUGGCAGCACAUAUAAUAAAAUUGGAAUGAUACAGAGAAGAUUAACAUGGCCCCUGUGCAAGGAUGACAUGUAAAUUCGUGAAGCAUUGCUUAUUUUU
RNAcentral lists this small nuclear RNA (107 nucleotides) under Choloepus hoffmanni (Hoffmann's two-fingered sloth). Lineage: Eukaryota; Metazoa; Chordata; Mammalia; Pilosa; Megalonychidae. The record is from RNAcentral.